This 253-nucleotide ribosomal RNA is filed under the name uncultured bacterium. Its description in RNAcentral is "partial 16S ribosomal RNA". It matches the Rfam family "Bacterial small subunit ribosomal RNA", at positions 524 to 776 of the family's 1533-position model. The record is from RNAcentral.
GACAGAGGUGCCGAGCGUUAGGCGGAAUCACUGGGCUUAAAGCGUGUGUAGGCGGAUCGUUAAGUACCUUGUGAAAUCCCACAGCUUAACUGUGGAACUGCUUGGUAUACUGCCAGUCUUGAGCCACUUAGGGGCUACCGGAACAAAUGGUGGAGCGGUGAAAUGCGUAGAUAUCAUUUGGAACGCCAAUGGUGAAAACAGGUAGCUGGGAGUGUGCUGACGCUGAGACACGAAAGCCAGGGGAGCAAACGGG